UUCUAGCAAGUCGUUAAAACGAAAACGAACAUUUUAUUUAGAUGAGGUGAUUUUUUCCAAGCUUGAGAUUUUAAUAUCAUCGGUUUAUCGCUUAAAUGAGUUAUGUAUAGAUAGGUACCUGCCAAUAUAUUAUAUAUUCAUAAAACAAUUACAGCAGUAUUAUGUAUAGGAUAGGUAAAUGGAAGGCAAAGCAUAUAGGUAUAUUAUAGGUGGAAACCGAACAAAAAUUGGGGAUAAAACAUCAUCCGUGAGGAUAGCCUAUAUAAUAUUAUCAUCGUCGAAGUCGUCGUCGUCGUCAUCGUCAUCAUUAUUAUCAUCGUCAUCGUCGUCAUCAGCAUAAUAAUAUAUAAUAUUAUGUGUGUGGCGGCGGUGUUUAGGUAUUGUUAAAUGUCAUCUGUACCGUAGGUAUACACCAUACACGCACAUACACCUUUAUAUUAUAAUAGUAUGUAUACCUGUCACAGCUGUUAAUUAGUGACAUAUUGUUUAGCUUUUUUUCUUCUAUACAGUAGAAAUCGAAUGGAACGCAUUCGGUUGUUCACUGUCUCACGGAUAGCACACCCAUUUCCUCAAACCGUAGGGAAUAAUAUUGCAUUCGUGUACACCUAUCUGAAAUAUUAUAAAUACCUGACAUCGGUGCAAGGAUACCUACAUAUGUAUAUGCAUAUUUUUUGUUCACUAUUAACAGAGGUAUUCACUUUUUCGACCACUAUUAAUCAAGCAGUGUUCGUGAAAACAACGAAAUUAUCAUACUACGGUUUUCGAGCAUCAAUUAUAAUUACGUGACAACAAGGAGUAUACAAUAAUAUGCAUUUUGGCAACUAUUGUAUAUUUAUUGACAGAAGUCUAGAGAUUAGAGUGCUAAGUAGUAGCGCCAACGGUGAAUUGAAUUUAAAUAUGUCACCUGCG
Molecule: long non-coding RNA, 909 nt
Organism: Aphis gossypii (cotton aphid)
Lineage: Eukaryota; Metazoa; Arthropoda; Insecta; Hemiptera; Aphididae
Exons: 2
Source: RefSeq, a predicted model, not a curated record